AGGUGUCCGCUGCGAAAUGGGAUGCCCGGUGCCUAUGCCAUCCUCCCCCCCCACCCAUCCACGAUGGGUGGCCAGGCAUAGGCAGUCCCGGGUCGUCGGGCUUGGUGGUCGGUCCGGCGGUCUCCGACCGUCGAUCCGGUCGUCAUUCCGGCGAUCACGGGCUGGUGGGAUAGGAGGGCUGUGUUGGUCUUUUUCGAGGGGAGACGGACGGUUUAUCUCGGAUUUUGAUUUUUCCAACGUAUUUGAAGGGCAAGCGUUGCACRUCCUCGCUUGUGGAUGCGGAGAAUACCGCGGUCGGGUUAAGAUGUGGGUUUUAACCUCUCGGAGGAGCACAACACUGUCUUUACUUUCUCAUUUGGCCCUCGAAAGAGAUUUUUCAAUAGUGGUUGGUUUUCAAAAAAAAAUUCAAAAUUCGUUCGUUUUCAAAAGUUUUUGACCCUGUCCCGUCGGAAGUUUUGUCCCUUGGUCUGGUGGGCUAGUAGUGCUGUGUUGAACUCUUUCCGAGGGGAGAGGGACGGUUCAUCUCGUAUUUCGAUCCUUCCAACGUGUUUGAAGGGCAAGCGACGCUCGACCUCGCUUGUGGAUGCGGAUAAUACUGCGGUCGGGUCAAGAUGCGAGUUUUAACCUCUCGGAGGAGCACAACACUGUCUUUACUUUCUCAUUUGGCCCUCGAAAGAGAUUUUUCAAUAGUGGUUGGUUUUCAAAAAAAUAUUCAAAAUUCGUUGGUUUUCAAAAUUUUUGACCCUGUCCCUUAAAGGUUAUUGUCCCUCGGAUUGUGUGUUUCUUCAUGUGAAGCGGUGCUGGUGUSKUUACUUUCUCAUUUGGCCCUCAAAAGAGAUUUUUCAAUAGUGGUUGGUUUUCAAAAAAAUAUUCAAAAUUCGUUGGUUUUCAAAAUUUUUGACCCUGUCCCUUAAAGGUUAUUGUCCCUCGGAUUGUGUGUUUCUUCAUGUGAAGCGGUGCUGGUGUGGUCUUGCUUGAUGUUUCCGCAUGCUCGGCGGUUCUAGUAAUCGUCGGGUUGUGGUUCGUUCGGUUGGGUCAUCAUCAAGUGUACGCAACUCAUGUGUGAGUGGUGGUCGGAUGGCAUGGGUCUGCAAGCUCCUUGCUCAGCGCAACGAAUUGUAAACUCUCCAUCCUUUUCAUAGUCUUCCCCAAGCAUGGUCAUUUGCCUUGUGGGUAAGAUCGGUAUCCUGUGUUUUUUACCAAUUGAAUGGAAUUCGAUUGUUUUCAUUUCUCUAUUCGCCCGGUUCCCUUAGGGGUGUUGGGCGGACGGUAGGCUGACUCCGUGUUCCAGGUACAUCUCGCAUUUUUGUGUGGUUACCGUGGCCCAUGGGGUUAUGCUUGUUCUCUCGGAUGCGGAUCGUUAGUUGUGGGCGAGGGGUUACGACCUCCAUUCGUCCAAGCUAUUAUGCAUUUGUCAAUCGGCACGGACGACUGCUGCACUCGUCUUGGCCUUUACAGUUGAAUGGCUGUACAGUGUCCAUGCGAGUGUCGGUGUCGUGAAGGAAUGC
RNAcentral lists this unclassified non-coding RNA (1508 nucleotides) under Acer stachyophyllum subsp. stachyophyllum. RNAcentral describes it as "external transcribed spacer". The record is from RNAcentral. Lineage: Eukaryota; Viridiplantae; Streptophyta; Magnoliopsida; Sapindales; Sapindaceae.